RNAcentral lists this ribosomal RNA (522 nucleotides) under uncultured bacterium. RNAcentral's name for it is "partial 16S ribosomal RNA". It matches the Rfam family "Bacterial small subunit ribosomal RNA", at positions 899 to 1397 of the family's 1533-position model. The record is from RNAcentral.
ACUCAAAUGAAUUGACGGGGACCCGCACAACCGGUGGAGCGUGUGGUUCAAUUCGAUACAAAGCGAAAGACCUCACCAGGUUUUGACAUGCUACCGUUUUAAGUCCCUGGAAACAGGGACCUAUCCGCAAGGAUGGUAGCACAGCAGCUGCAUGGCUGUCGUCAGCUCGUGCCGUGGGGUGUUCCCUUAAGUGGGAGAACGAGCGCAACCCGUGUCCAAUGUUAUAUGUUUCAUUGGAGACCGCCCGCUCUCUGAGUAUCCGAAAGUAUCGGGUAUUGAGAGAGCGGGAGGAAGGAACGGACGACGUCAAGUCAGCACGGCGCUUAUAACCUGGGUAACACACACCCUACAAUGGCGAAUAACAAUGGGAUGCAAGGUAGCAAUGCCAAGCAAAUCCCCAGUAAAUUUCGCCUCAGUUCAGAUUGGGGGCUGCAACCCGCCCCCAUGAAGUCGGAAUCGGUAGUAAUCGCAGAUCAGCAGGCUGCGGUGAAUACGUUCUCGGGUCUUGUACACACCGCCCGU